GAAAAUGGAUUUGACCAUUCUAAUAUUCAUAGCCCUCUUUGCUGUUGCAUCUUUUCUAUUAUUUGUGGUGUAUAAGUUUGGAAUCAAGGAGAAGAGUUAUGAAGAGGCACUAGCUGAGCAAAGGCAGCAAACUAAUAUCUUACUGGGCACAAAAUCCAAGCCUAAAGAGAAGAAAAGCAAAAAGGCAAAUAAAAAGCCCAAGGAAAAACCUGUCCAAGAAAAUGACGUAAAUGAGUCAGAAAAUACUGAAAAUAAAGAAAAUGCCCAUCCUAGUAAACUUCACGUGGAAUUCAAAGAAGAAACUGAAGAAGUCAUCAUCACAGAGGAGCUGAAACUAGCAUCCAGUAAGGAGUCAAACAAGCAGAAAAAGGUGAAAAAGGUUCGUCCGAUUCUGGUGAAAAAGGAACAGUCGCCCCAGAGAAUCGCUCUGGAAGUCGUUGAAGCUCCGAUUGCUAAUCAUUUUGAAGAGAUUCAACCAAAAGACGACUUCGAGUUGUUGAGAUCCAACAGUAGAGACGACAUUUUCAAACAAGAACCGGUCAAAGAGAAGGUAGUAAAAGAGAAGAAACAAACGACUGAAGUCGGCGUGACUGCCAAAAACAAGAAAAACGCGAAGACCCAACAGACCGAAGUCGGCAAGCAAGAGAAACCGGCGCCACCUCCAGAAGAAAAGGUAGAAGAGAAAGUCAUCAUCGAAGUUAUUCCGGCGGUUCCGCAGACGAACGGCAUCGUCGCAAAUACCGGUAAAGAAAAGAAGAAAAAGAAAAGCGAGUUUAACACUAAACAGCAAUUAUCUGCAGAACGAGACGGACUAAUUAACUCGGUGCGUAAAGCUGAAUUGUCUAAGACUGAGAUACAAUAUCUUAUUGAUCUAUUACUAAACAAGCAGCUUGAGGCUCCUGCAGUUAUCGAUGAUUGGAGUGAGGGUAAAUCCGAUCCAGUUCAAAAGCUGAAAAGACAACUCGCCGAGAAAGAAAAAGCCCUCGUCGACGAACAACAGGCACUUGUCGGCGCUCAGGCCAAGUUGAGAGAGAUAAGAAGCGAACAACAGGCAGAAAAAUCACAACUUCAACAGAAACUGCGCUUAUUGGAGGAAUCGAUGCAAAACAAACAGAUAGAAAUCCAAGCGGCCGCCAAUCGGUAUCAAGUCGCGGCUCAGAAGAUGCAGCAAAUUCAAAAUGAACUCAGCGCCGAGAUGAUGAAGACACGCAAACUGAUGGACGACAACAAUGCCUUGCAGAUGCAAGUCCAGCAAUAUGAAGUUAGCAUUCCGCAAGUGCAGGAGAGUGAAGGUAUUAUAAUGAAAUUGAGGACUGAAUUAAACGACGCCGCAAAUUCCAAUCAACAACUUCAACAACUCGCCGUGGACAAAGAUCAUCAAAACCAAAACUUGCUGAUGCAGAUUGCCACAUUGAAAGAUUCGAUGCACGACGCCCAAAAGAAAUUGGAAAUUUAUAUACGCAAGGAAAACGACUGGACGAGAGAGAUGUCAAGUUUGAACACUUCGCAGCAGAAGCAAUUCGAAGAGCAACGAAACCUGGAACAUACAGUUUCUCAACUUAACGGGCUGUUGCAUAACGCCAACAGUGAAAAAGCGGAAGCAACUAAGAUAAUAGCACAGCUCAAAGCAGAUCUCCAGAAAACCAAGGAAGAGCUCAACGGCCUGGGUGAUAUACCGGACAGCAAAAACAAACACGAAGUCGAAAUCCUCAAUUUAAGUAACGAAUUAUCUUCAACCCGUAACGAACUGUCGUCGAAGAUCGAGGAAUUACAACAGAACGAACGAAAGUACAAGACAGAAUUGGAAACAUCAAACAAAAAAUACCAAUUGAUACAAAAAGAGUUGGAGGAACAGAAAACGAAGAAUAAUGAGUUGCGCACAAAGAACUGGAAAGUGAUGGAAGCGUUAAAUGCAGCCGAAAACAAGAAUAAAGAACCGAGCAAAAAGCCAGAUAUUGACGUUAAACAAUUGUCUUCGGAGAUCAUAAGUAAAGAGCAGGAUUCCCAGAAACAAUUCAUGCAACGGCUAUUCCCCGACAUCGAAGCCUUAAAGACGCUCAACUCUAGCGACUGGCAGGAUCAAUGUGCUAAACUGAUCGAGAAGUACGUCAGAUCUCUCAAAGAAGAGCAACAACACAGUUCGCAACAUUCUUCUCCUCAGAAAUCUUCCGAAGUGAUAAAAUUGCAGGCGCAAAUUGAGCACUACAAAAAUACUAUAGACGACACGGAGGGCUUGUUAAACGAACUCCAAAAACGUGUAGAGCAAGAAGAAAUGACGUGGAGGGGUCAGUUAGCUGCGAAAGAAGCAGAACUAGAGAAUUUAAAAGCUAGUCAUCUAUCGCAGAAUCCUGUAGAACUGCCAGAGUUUCAAGGAGUUGAAUUUGCCUACAAAUGCAUAGAAAAGUCGCUGCCAAUGAUAAUUAACGAGUUGCAAUCAAAACUUGUAAAUUUAGAAAACCUCUUAUCGAAGGAAGUCGAAGAGAAAAAGAAGCUUUUAGAAGAGUGCCAACUGCUUAAAAGUCAAAAGACACAAUGUAGCACGCAAGCCGACUCGACAGCUACAAUAGAAAAACUGUCAGAGGAGGUGAAUCAUUUACGAGAACAACUUAGAUUAGAACAAACUAAAAACGGAGACGUAGGAGUUUGUAUUAAAGCACAAAAUUGUAAUAAUUCUUCAAAUGGACCUUCUUUUCUUGACCAUUGUUUGUCGUCGUCGUCUAGUGUAGCUUCGUCUCUUAUCGAAGAUUAUAAAAAACCAAAGAAUAAAAAAAGAAAGAAGAAGGUAUCCAAUGUAAGAAACGCCAACAUUUGUUCAAAUAUGGGGUGUCAGUUUUUGUACUGUGAUGGUAACAGCUGCGGCAACAAUUUAUAAGCCAACGAAGUAUUUAAAAAGGCGGAGAGAAAUCAAGAAUAAGUUGUUAAAGAUUAUAAACGUUGAAAAAUAACACUAGAUUUACACUAUUUACUUAACACAUAAUUUUAACGAAAUAAUUUACAUAAUAGUAUGCGUUAUCAUUCCUUUUAUGUUUUUGUUGCGUGUGCAAUAACUUUUUCUAUGUUUAUUUGUAUUUUUAAGUUUACUUUACUAGUAUUUCGCGGCAAUAGUUUCUUAGAAAUGGGUUCUACAAGGUGGUUGGUUUCCACUCGGGUAAAAUCAGUUUUAUUUUUCAAUCCGGUGCUCAAAUUUAUGUUUUGACAAGUGUAUUUUGCUUAAUCCUCAAAAUGAAAAAACAAUCUAUAAAUUUGUAAAAUGGUGGAAACUGGGGAUUAGGUCAAUAACUAUAAGACAGUUGAAGAACCAUUUGGAUAUCUUAUCCAAUAACUCCAGAACAGUUGACAAACCAUUUGACUACAUUUGGUAUGUCCCUUCAACCUGGUACCGUAUCAGAUAUCUUCAGUACGUCUGAAGAGCUGUAGUUUUUGGGCACUUCUUUUAAUAUUAACAAUUUGGCAAUCACCUCAAAAAAUGUUUCCUAUAGAGACAAAAGCUAUUCAAAAGUGUCGCCACAGAAUUGUACCACAGAUAUUUUUUAAUACUUGUAGAACCCAUUUCCACAUCAUGCUUUUAUUAAGACUUAUUAAAUUAUCUGUGAGAUUGUAAAUUUUAAGUAGACAUGUGAAACAAUUGAGAAAAAGAACUCGUUAAAUUAAUAAAUGAAAGUACUAAAUAGGCAUCUGCUUUUUGUUAGGACGUAUUGAAGCUUAUUCAUAAGGUAUCGUUUUAGUUAAAACUACAUAGUAUAUAUUCUUGUAAGAGAAAAGGGAUGCGUAUGAAAGAAUCAAAUUAAUAUAUGUUAUUUUAAAAAUAUUAGCUUCCUUUUGUAUACUUUUCAAUAAUUUCAAUAAAUAUUUAUACUAU
RNAcentral lists this unclassified non-coding RNA (3859 nucleotides) under Diabrotica virgifera virgifera (western corn rootworm). RNAcentral's name for it is "ribosome-binding protein 1-like". Lineage: Eukaryota; Metazoa; Arthropoda; Insecta; Coleoptera; Chrysomelidae. The record is from RNAcentral.